RNAcentral lists this long non-coding RNA (1101 nucleotides) under Homo sapiens (human). Its description in RNAcentral is "HSALNT0045925". The record is from RNAcentral. Lineage: Eukaryota; Metazoa; Chordata; Mammalia; Primates; Hominidae.
GGGCGGGGGACUGGGAGGGAAAAGUUCGGAAAAACUUUUACCCUGAAUUCGCUCAGGGACGAAAACGCGCAGAAAGGGAAUUUGCUUCAAAGAUUUGUUCCUCUUCCUGGUGCACUCAGAUGCGCAUUCCUGAGCAGGGGCGCCUUCGCCAGCGGCGUUUGAGGGGAGCGAGGACCGCGCAGCGCCCCUUCGGGGAGAGACGUGACCAGGAGUCGCGUUAGGACUGCAAAGGCUGGCUCUGGCGGGGCUUUCGGGUCGCCGGGUCCUCAAUGUGGGGUUUGGGACGGGACGAGAAGGGGGUGCGCCUUGCGGAUCGCCUCUUUCCCCCCGGACCCAAAGAGUCCACGCGAGGCCACAGUCCCCUCUCCCCUCCCCCGAGUUAUAAAAAGGAGGAGGGGCCGCCUCCGAGGAGAAACCCGAGUCGGGCGGAGGGGGCCGAGUGACGGCGGGAGGAAGGACCCCUCGGAGGAAGGGCCCGAAGCAGGGAGAGCGGGGAACCCGGGCUCAGGCCACCCCGCCCGCGCGCACGGCCUGGAGUCUGGGGAACUGGGGUGACUCUAGCGAGGUUUUAAGGAAACGAAGACGGCGUUGGGGAGACUGGUUCUAGAAGUAACCUGAGACCGAGCGCCCAGGAACACUCUGUACGACGCGCCGGGCGUCUCAGUGGCCCCGUGUGCCUUGGUUCUGCGGCGUGUGCCCUUUCGGGAUCCCAUCUUCGUUGCAGAAGCAACCAUUUGAUCCUCCAUUUAGAAUCUGCGUAGGAAUGUUUUAAUGCGUCUUAGAAACCAGGCUAAUUAAAGAGUUUUCAAAACACAAAGCGGGGUUAUCCUCGUUCUCGGGUAGCGUUUUCUGAUUGGCAAACGUUCUUUUGUUCUCGGUUAAAUCUUCGUCUUGAGCCAGGCGCUGGGCGCUCGCGCGCGCUCUCUGGUUACUCCUGCGGGGGUCAUAAGUCACCAGGGGGCCUCUCCCCUCUCUCCGGGCUGCCAGGAAUAUCAGGAAUUCCCAUGCAGGAAAGUGACAUGUUGAGAAGGAAAAGAAAAAAAUCAAUCAAUCAAUCUCUCCUCCUCCUCCUCUUUCCUCUGUCUCUCUCUCUCUCUCUCU